CACCAUGUUCACACACAUAGGCAGAACAGAACGGAUGGGGUUGAUGAGGGUAGAAGUGUGCUGAGGGGGUGCACCGCCUGGAGCCCGCCUCGACGGGCAAAACAUCUCGCCCAUAGAUCAAAGACCCUCGACAUCUCUGAGCCAUCCUGAGAGAAAGAAGGGAAGAAAAGCGGUGGAGAGCCAGUGCUUCUAGUGACUGGCACGGUGUAAUCCCCCUCGGGCGUAGACAAGCCGGGAGGCAGAAAUGGAAUGGAGGGGAGAGCGAUGACAGGAGGUCCGGCUCCUAAUUAUCCCAGAAGUUACUGUGUUAGAGAUUACCUGUACAAAUAUGAGGAAACGGCGUGCUGUAUGUCAGGUGCCACGGGCCAGUGUGUGUGGGACCAGUGGGAGUGGCAAGGCGCCAGGCUGCCCUUAUCAGCCCCUACGGCCCAGUCACCGCUCCCGAGAGACGGCCGGGGAGGGAGCCAGGAGUCCCUUUGUUGUUUUCUCUGAUCUACGACCGGCCUUUAUGGCAUGCUCUAGAUCACUAUCACUGUGGGAAAGACAGAAAGAAGGCCCUGGGAGGGUGUGCGUGUGUGUUUAUGUGUGUGAUCGACCGAACAACCUCUGCCUUUGACUCUCCGACAACUAUCGCAGGGCCUGUCGCUGCUGAUAUUGCUCAUAAAGAAGCCCUCGACCAGCUGCAGGGACGCGGGCGGAUGAUAAGAGUGAACUCUGACCUCUCGGUUCACCAGUCACACUAACAACACAGACAUCAAUGAAGUCAUGAGAAAAGAUGCCUACAUACGCCAUUUGCAUGAUCGUGGCACAAUGAAGACUGUCUUGACCCAAAUAAAUUUGAAGGAUUGCAGUUUUAAAGGUAUGAAUUGGUU
Danio rerio (zebrafish) is the source of this 872-nucleotide non-coding RNA. The record is from RefSeq and is a predicted model, not a curated record. Lineage: Eukaryota; Metazoa; Chordata; Actinopteri; Cypriniformes; Danionidae.